GCGGGUAUAAUAUAAAGGCUCAUUAUGCCAGCCUUCCAAGCUGGAUAUGAGGGUUCGAUUCCCUCUACCCGCUCCA
Molecule: transfer RNA, 76 nt
Filed under: Candidatus Uhrbacteria bacterium
Lineage: Bacteria; Candidatus Uhriibacteriota
Description: tRNA-Gly
Rfam family: tRNA
About the family: Transfer RNA (tRNA) molecules are approximately 80 nucleotides in length. Their secondary structure includes four short double-helical elements and three loops (D, anti-codon, and T loops).
Source: RNAcentral